This 634-nucleotide ribosomal RNA is filed under the name uncultured Colwellia sp. RNAcentral describes it as "bacterial SSU rRNA". It matches the Rfam family "Bacterial small subunit ribosomal RNA", at positions 67 to 692 of the family's 1533-position model. The record is from RNAcentral. Lineage: Bacteria; Pseudomonadati; Pseudomonadota; Gammaproteobacteria; Alteromonadales; Colwelliaceae.
CGGUAGCAGAGAUAGCUUGCUAUCUGCUGAUGAGCGGCGGACGGGUGAGUAAUGCUUGGGAAUAUGCCUUAUGGUGGGGGACAACAGUUGGAAACGACUGCUAAUACCGCAUAACGUCUACGGACCAAAGGAGGGGAUCUUCGGACCUUUCGCCAUUUGAUUAGCCCAAGUGAGAUUAGCUAGUAGGUGAGGUAAGAGCUCACCUAGGCGACGAUCUCUAGCUGGUUUGAGAGGAUGAUCAGCCACACUGGGACUGAGACACGGCCCAGACUCCUACGGGAGGCAGUAGUGGGGAAUAUUGCACAAUGGGGGAAACCCCGAUGCAGCCAUGCCGCGUGUGUGAAGAAGGCCUUCGGGUUGUAAAGCACUUUCAGUUGUGAGGAAAGGGAUGUAGUUAAUAACUGCAUUCUGUGACGUUAACAACAGAAGAAGCACCGGCUAACUUCGUGCCAGCAGCCGCGGUAAUACGAGGGGUGCAAGCGUUAAUCGGAAUUACUGGGCGUAAAGCGUUCGUGGGCGGUUAUUUAAGCAAGAUGUGAAAGCCCAGGGCUCAACCUUGGAACUGCAUUUUGAACUGGGUAACUAGAGUACUGUAGAGGGUGGUGGAAUUUCCAGUGUAGCGGUGAAAUGCGUA